UCCUUGGGUGGUGAGUGGGGCGGAGCCAUUCUGUUGGCAACAGAAUAUGCCCCAAAAGGAGUUCGUGGGCUUUACGGUUCGAUUCCUCAAUUAGGGGU
Molecule: transfer RNA, 98 nt
Filed under: Parageobacillus sp. G301
Lineage: Bacteria; Bacillati; Bacillota; Bacilli; Caryophanales; Anoxybacillaceae
Description: tRNA-Ala
Source: RNAcentral